This 928-nucleotide ribosomal RNA is filed under the name uncultured bacterium. RNAcentral's name for it is "bacterial SSU rRNA". It matches the Rfam family "Bacterial small subunit ribosomal RNA", at positions 77 to 997 of the family's 1533-position model. The record is from RNAcentral.
CCUUCGGGCGCUGACGAGUGGCGGACGGGUGAGUAACGCGUAGGAAUCUGCCUUAUAGUGGGGGACAACGUGGGGAAACCCACGCUAAUACCGCAUACGCCCUACGGGGGAAAGGAGGGGAUCUUCGGACCCUUCGCUAUGAGAUGAGCCUGCGUUAGAUUAGCUAGUUGGUAGGGUAAAGGCCUACCAAGGCGACGAUCUAUAGCUGGUCUGAGAGGACGAUCAGCCACACUGGGACUGAGACACGGCCCAGACUCCUACGGGAGGCAGCAGUGGGGAAUAUUGGACAAUGGGCGAAAGCCUGAUCCAGCAAUACCGCGUGUGUGAAGAAGGCCUUAGGGUUGUAAAGCACUUUCAAUUGGGAGGAAAACCUGUCGGUCAAUACCCGGCAGCUUGACAUUACCUUUAGAAGAAGCACCGGCUAACUCCGUGCCAGCANCCGCGGUAAUACGGAGGGUGCGAGCGUUAAUCUUAAUCGGAAUUACUGGGCGUAAAGCGUGCGUAGGCGGUUCGUUAAGUCAGAUGUGAAAGCCCUGGGCUCAACCUGGGAACUGCAUUUGAAACUGGCGGACUAGAGUUUAGUAGAGGGGAGUGGAAUUUCAGGUGUAGCGGUGAAAUGCGUAGAUAUCUGAAGGAACACCAGUGGCGAAGGCGACUCCCUGGACUAGAACUGGCGCUGAGGUACGAAAGCGUGGGUAGCAAACAGGAUUAGAUACCCUGGUAGUCCACGCCGUAAACGAUGUCGACUAGCCGUUGGUCCUAUUUACAGGAUUAGUGGCGCAGCUAACGCAUUAAGUCGACCGCCUGGGGAGUACGGCCGCAAGGUUAAAACUCAAAUGAAUUGACGGGGGCCCGCACAAGCGGUGGAGCAUGUGGUUUAAUUCGAUGCACGCGAAGAACCUUACCUACCCUUGACAUCCAGAGAAUC